GACGUAGGGGGCCAGCGUUGUUCGGAAUUACUGGGUGUAAAGGGUUCGUAGGCGGUGUAGCAAGUCGGGAGUGAAAUCUUUGGGCUUAACCCAGAGACUGCUUCCGAAACUGCUGUGCUUGAGUGUGGGAGAGGCGCGUGGAAUUGCAGGUGUAGCGGUGAAAUGCGUAGAUAUCUGCAGGAACACCCGUGGCGAAAGCGGCGCGCUGGACCACUACUGACGCUGAGGAACGAAAGCUAGGGGAGCAAACAGG
Molecule: ribosomal RNA, 253 nt
Filed under: uncultured bacterium
Lineage: Bacteria
Description: partial 16S ribosomal RNA
Rfam family: Bacterial small subunit ribosomal RNA
Source: RNAcentral